This 880-nucleotide long non-coding RNA is filed under the name Gallus gallus (chicken). Lineage: Eukaryota; Metazoa; Chordata; Aves; Galliformes; Phasianidae. The record is from RNAcentral.
UGGGUUUUCUAAUCUGUAAAUUACGGAGUACUGUUGUCAUACUAAACCUUAAGAAUGCAACACCCCAAAGUCUUGAUACUAAACAGCAACUUUCAAAACCAGUCUAAUAUAUUUUUUCAGCAAAAUAGUGUGGCAUACCUGAAUUAUAAGGAACACUGAAUGACAUGUAGUUUAGAUUUAGUUACACUUAUCUUACUUUUAAAUUAUCUAAAUUAUUAUCUUUUCUUUAUUUCAGACACAAUUAUCUGGUUCACAUUCUGUUUCUUCUUCCAGACUUGGACAAGGCGUUCCGUCAUUAGCAGGGUGAAGAACUACAAAACGAGUUCUGAUCUUGGUCCCCAUUUUUCUGCAAGGACCUCUGCAGAGACCCCAGGAAGACCAUUGUGAAACUUCACAGUCCAGUGGUGUUUCUGAGAAUGUGUCAAGUAUUUCAUUGCUUUUAGCUGGCUGGUUAAGAUGAGGUAUAGGAAAACCCAGCUGGUUUUUCUUCAAUUUCACCAUCGUUACUUGAGCAAUAGGUGGCAAAAUUUUGAGUUUGGGAUAAUAAAAUGAGUUUGCUGGGUGGCUUGGAGAGGAACAAGUGAUCUCUGUAACUGUGUCUUGUGGAAUAGUGGCAAAGUUUGGGGAGGAAAAUGUGAAGCCACUGUCGGUUCCAGCAUCAUAUGGAUAUAGAUCUACUGAUAUUUCUUCCAUCCAGUGGUCCCCUUCACAGAGGUUUAGGCUGUCAAUACCCACAAACCAGUCGGGACUUGGCACAAUUCGUACAACAAAUGAAACCUAAUGAAAUAAAACAACACAGCAUUACUUAUGGCAAUACUUAUUUUGAAAUUCUCCAGUACUACUUAUUGUAACUGUAGCUUAACUCGUGAAAUAAAUGGGC